Molecule: ribosomal RNA, 262 nt
Filed under: uncultured archaeon
Lineage: Archaea
Description: partial 16S ribosomal RNA
Rfam family: Archaeal small subunit ribosomal RNA
Source: RNAcentral
CAGCCCUAAACGGUGCGCGUUAGGUGUAUCGGUGACCACGAGUCACCGAGGUGCCGAAGGGAAACCGUGAAACGUGCCGCCUGGGAAGUACGGUCGCAAGGCUGAAACUUAAAGGAAUUGGCGGGGGGAGCACCACAACGGGUGGAGCCUGCGGUUUAAUUGGACUCAACGCCGGGAAGCUCACCGGAUAAGACAGCGGAAUGAUUGCCGGGCUGAAGACCCUGCAUGACCAGCUGAGAGGAGGUGCAUGGCGUAGUCGUGU